Molecule: ribosomal RNA, 429 nt
Filed under: Chloroflexota bacterium
Lineage: Bacteria; Bacillati; Chloroflexota
Description: Chloroflexi bacterium partial 16S ribosomal RNA
Rfam family: Bacterial small subunit ribosomal RNA
Source: RNAcentral
UAGGGAAUCUUCGGCAAUGGACGAAAGUCUGACCGAGCAACGCCGCGUGAGUGAAGAAGGUUUUCGGAUCGUAAAACUCUGUUGUUAGAGAAGAACAAGGACGUUAGUAACUGAACGUCCCCUGACGGUAUCUAACCAGAAAGCCACGGCUAACUACGUGCCAGCAGCCGCGGUAAUACGUAGGUGGCAAGCGUUGUCCGGAUUUAUUGGGCGUAAAGCGCACGCAGGCGGUUUGUUAAGUCAGAUGUGAAAUCCUCGGGCUCAACCUGGGAACUGCAUCUGAUACUGGCAAGCUUGAGUCUCGUAGAGGGGGGUAGAAUUCCAGGUGUAGCGGUGAAAUGCGUAGAGAUCUGGAGGAAUACCGGUGGCGAAGGCGGCCCCCUGGACGAAGACUGACGCUCAGGUGCGAAAGCGUGGGGAGCAAACAGG